This 300-nucleotide unclassified non-coding RNA is filed under the name Zea mays. Its description in RNAcentral is "misc RNA Zm00001eb147870". Lineage: Eukaryota; Viridiplantae; Streptophyta; Magnoliopsida; Poales; Poaceae. The record is from RNAcentral.
ACGGCCCACCCGCCGGUCGGCACCGCGAUGGUGUUCCGCUCCUGCGGGUUGACGAGGUUGAAGUGCUGCUUCGCGGCCGUGUCGUAGUUGCCGAACCCCUGCGCGACGACGAAGAAAUUGAACCCGUGCAGGUGCAUCGGGUGGCUCUCGCGCCCCACCAGCGCCGUGUUCUGCAGCACCACCUCCACCGUCGCGUUGUACGCCAGCGUCCUCACCUUCGUGGACUGCGGUCCCGGGAACAGCAGCGCCGCGGCGACGCCGCCCAGCAGCAGCCGCUCCGUCUGGUUCGUGUAGUCGAAC